Molecule: long non-coding RNA, 312 nt
Organism: Salvia miltiorrhiza (redroot sage)
Lineage: Eukaryota; Viridiplantae; Streptophyta; Magnoliopsida; Lamiales; Lamiaceae
Exons: 4
Source: RefSeq, a predicted model, not a curated record
AGUUCUUCAUUCACGCAUCAACAAUCAAAAGGGAGGAAGUUGGUCUGGUGGCUACCGAGCUUCGAAGAGACUUUCAGUAAAUCCCCACAGAACUCGAAAAGCAACACAGCAGCCACCCAACAGUUUGAACAUAUCCAAGGUUAAGCGCAAGAGUAAGAGCUAGUCAAGGAGUUACUGAACUGAAGCAAAGCUUUGCUAUCAGGUUGAGAAUGGCAGAUGGAGAUGAAGUGAGGAGCAGAGCUUUUGUCAUAGGUUGAAUAAAUAAACUCUUGGAUACAUGUCUCCAUACAUGUAAUCAGAUUGUUAUUUCCG